ACAGUUCCCACACUGCAGUGCCUCUGGUGAGGAGACAGCGCCACUGAGGUGAGCCUUGGGGAUCUGGGGACACAGGCAUGGGGUGGCCGGAGCCCUGGGGGGCAGGCAGAUGGGGAGAAUGCUUCUCUGCCCCAGGCAGUGGGGAGCAGCAGUGGACUGCCAGCUUCAGGUCCCCCGGGGGUCAGCAGGAGUGGGAGGCAGAGGGGUGGCCAGUUAGCCGAGAGGGACAAGGCUGGCCGGGAGCUGGCAGGCUCCGUUCCUGCCUGGGUGCCUGGCUUCUGUGGGUGGCCCUGGGCUGAGAGAGACCCUCAGGGGGACCUGAGAGGGUGGGCGGGGGCUGGGCUGCCUGGAACAGUGUAUGCCCAGUCCUGGAGUCCAGGGCUCUGACCCUGACUCUGACUGGGCUGCUGCUAUGGGGUUGCUGGGUGCCAGCAGCGGCACCGUCCAGGGGACUGUGACCCUCACAAGUGCCUGUGCUAGCAGGGGGGUUGGCGGCUGGCUGGAAUGUGCUGGGGCUACUCCCACUGCCCAGGUGGAGAGUCUGAGUGGAGGGAGAGAUCUUCCCCCUGCCAUAGGCUCACAGGUUUUACUCCAAGCUACUGAUCCCCAGACCCAUAGACCCACAUGGUAAAGACAGGCACUUCUCCCUCCCCUAGGGGUCUUUGACCAGCUCCCUCCAGACAGCAUCCCUAGAAGAGCUUUGCCCAGAGUUGCAAACAGCAGGGUUUCAACCCAGAGCCUAGAUAUUCCUGCAGUCAGCUUCCUGGAACUGGGCUGGACAGGGAGGAACGGGGGCUCUGUGGAUAGGGGUGGGGAAAGCAGGUGGAGACAGAGGCCUGGCUCCAAUGAGGCUACAAGUGUGAUUUUUGGAGACAACCAAGGGCCACAAGGAGAUCUUGAGACUCUAAAGCUGUGCAGGUGGGUGGGAAUGAUCUGAAGGGGCAGAAGCCAAGUGCCAAGGGCCCCACCCCCUUCUCGGCUGGUAGCGGGGAUGGAGAGGCAGGGCUGGAGAAAUGUAUGGCUCACACCUUUCCAGGGAGGUGGGCAGGGCGGCUCUGCUGGCUGCUAGUGGAGGAAAAGAAAAGGCCAGCCCAGACGUGAAGGGACACCAGGGAAGACCUUCUCAAUGGGAUGCAUUUUGGGGGUCUAGCCUCUGGCUCUCUGGUUGGGGCACAGCCAAGUCCUACAGCUCCCUGGCUCCCCAAGGAGGCAGUGGUGGGCCAAAUCCUGGUGAGUAGUGGUCCCAUGAGGCGGAGCUGCUAAGGGCAGUGGCCUCAUAGGACUGGGCAGAUGGGGCACUUGUUCCAGGGGCCAACUGUUUUGCCCUCUUCCCUUGGCUAGAACUUCCUCAUCUGAGCAAGGCGACAGCUGCACCUGCUCCCACCCCUGCCCCCUAGAAACCCCCGGAUGGAAGCAGCAUGUCUAGAGAGGUGGAAUCAGAGCUGUGGGCACGAGCUGGUGCCAGGCUGAGUGUCCACCCCCAGCCCACCCUCCUCCAGCCACUACAAACCAGCUGAGUCAGGGGAAGUGGAGAGCAAAGCCUCAGAACUGGCCCUAGCGGUUACUGGGGAGAUGUCUGGCCCACAGCCUUGGGGAGAAAGCCCAUCUCUCCUGGGCUGGGCACAGCUCACGACAGCCCCAUGGUCCUAUAGCUGAUGUGGCAGCCUGCCUAGGUCAUUGGCUUCCCUAUCAUCCAGGGUGUGUGUGUCCCCCACCCCUGCAUACCCCCUCCCUUCCCCUAGCAUAUCCCAAAUCCUCUUACCUAGCUACGGAUUCUGGCCUGGGGUUAAGCCAGUCCUCCCUCACCUCAGUCUGGGCCUCAUCAUGCCCCUCGCACAUGACCCAGACCCAGAGGGAGGCAGGUUGCCCUACCCAUUUUCCAGAGACAUUAGGGGGCUCUCUUCCAGGCGGCUCAGCUCACUCUGACUCCAGGCGAUCAUCCAUCAGCUCCGUGAUCUCCCAGGGCACUGUACACCCUACUGGCCAUUAAAGACUCAGAUACCAUUCCCUGCUGGUGCCUGCCUAGUGCCAGAGGCCAGCAGGUUGCUCACUCAGCCUCAGUCAGUGAGCGCCAAGGUCCCGCUGGCUCUAACUCUGGUCCUACCAUGGGAGAAGAGGGCCUCCCUGAGCCAAGAGCUCCCUGAGAUUCCCCUUGGAAGAGGCCAACACCUCUACCUUCUUUCUCUCCCUCCCUGAGCUCCCCACUUCCACAGAGCUUUCCCGCACAGAUCCACCUGCCGCUGAUACCUUCCUAAAGAGAUGAUAGGGCAAGGAUGUUUUCCCCAUUAAACAGAUGAGAAAACAGGCCUGGAGAAAGGAAGGUGGGAAGGCCAGGACUCGGACUUACCACCUGACUCCUACUCCAGUGCUCCUUCCAAGCCACUUAAAUGCCACCCUCGUGAGAUCCUACAUGAGUGGGGUCCCUAUGCCCACCAAACUGUCCACUAGCUGCCCAGCCUCUGCCCCCACAAAUCCUCAACACCCUGAGGCAUUCCCAGAGACAGAUGGGCUCAGUUACUCCCAACAGUGUUUGAGCCAGGGCUUUCGGCCUUGGUUCCAAAGCAGGCAUCUAAAGGGUUCCCUGGGCUGGCUAAAGGCUUUGGAGCUGAGGCUGCAUAGGGGAGGUGGGAGAGGGUCUCAGAGCCUGGUAAUGCACCUCUCCUAUCUGCAACCCCUUCCAUCUCCUUGCAUGCCCCCAACCCCCGCCCUCUGCUGUAAGGAAGCUGGCUCUCAGCAUUAAAGUCCCAAAACAGCUUCAUGACAUUAUUCCCUGCCAAAAUCUUCAUGAGGUUUGCCACUGAUGUCAAUGUGAAGUCAACUCCCUCGGCCAGGCACACUAGCCUCUGCCAGUCUUCUGGGCCUUCUUGCCCAACUUGCUCAUUGUAUCCCCUACACUCUAACUACACCUGUGUGUCUCCACCCUGGGAUGGGGCACAGCAGAGCUCAGAGACUGGCUGUGGGCUGCACUACACAUACACAUGCUUAUACAUAUAUUCAUGCACACGCACACAUGCACACACACACAGAUGUGCAUACAGAUGCAGACACACAUUUAUGUAGAAGCCCACCACUCAACUGCGCAUGGUUUUCUGCCAAAUCACACACACAAUGGAGCUGUCCCUCUGAGACAAGAAGGUUCCAACACAUCUGCUGUGUGGAUCCCUGGAGAGGCCAAGCAUGGUUGUGUCGCCAUCCCAAGCCCUUGAGGGGCAGUGGGGAAGCAGAAGUAGAUCCCCUGGAUCUGGCUGAGCCCUUGCUUGGCCCCAGGGUAUCUGAGCCCCAGAGAGUGGCAGAGGAUAGUCAAGCAGGUUCCAACUAGGUUCUUACCCUGGUUCUGUGGCCCUUAUGUGGGACUGUACAGUCCCCAGUAAGCCACCUUCUC
This 3382-nucleotide long non-coding RNA is filed under the name Homo sapiens (human). Its description in RNAcentral is "non-protein coding GLYCTK-AS1:8". The record is from RNAcentral. Lineage: Eukaryota; Metazoa; Chordata; Mammalia; Primates; Hominidae.